This 465-nucleotide ribosomal RNA is filed under the name uncultured bacterium. RNAcentral describes it as "partial 16S ribosomal RNA". It matches the Rfam family "Bacterial small subunit ribosomal RNA", at positions 338 to 795 of the family's 1533-position model. The record is from RNAcentral.
CCUACGGGGGGCAGCAGUAGGGAAUCUUCCACAAUGGGCGCAAGCCUGAUGGAGCAACACCGCGUGAGUGAAGAAGGGUUUCGGCUCGUAAAGCUCUGUUGUUGGAGAAGAACGUGCGUGAGAGUAACUGUUCACGCAGUGACGGUAUCAAACCAGAAAGUCACGGCUAACGACGUGCCAGCAGCCGCGGUAAUACGUAGGUGGCAAGCGUUAUCCGGAUUUAUUGGGCGUAAGGCGAGCGCGGGCGGUUGCUUAGGUCUGAUGUGAAAGCCUUCGGCUUAACCGAAGAAGUGCAUCGGAAACCGGGAAACUUGAGUGCAGAAGAGGACAGUGGAACUCCAUGUGUAGCGGUGGAAUGCGUAGAUAUAUGGAAGAACACCAGUGGCGAAGGCGGCUGUCUGGUCUGCAACUGACGCUGAGGCUCGAAAGCAUGGGUAGCGAACAGGAUUAGAUACCCCAGUAGUC